GGUUCGAUGGCGUAGUUGGUUAUCGCAUCUGUCUAACACACAGAAGGCCCCCGGUUCGAGCCCGGGUCGAACCA
This is a non-coding RNA of Russula ochroleuca, 74 nucleotides long. The record is from the annotation of a GenBank genome assembly. Lineage: Eukaryota; Fungi; Basidiomycota; Agaricomycetes; Russulales; Russulaceae.